CGGGGUGUGGCGCAGUCUGGUAGCGCACCCGUUUUGGGUACGGGUGGUCGGGGGUUCAAAUCCUCUCGCCCCGACCA
This 77-nucleotide transfer RNA is filed under the name Alphaproteobacteria bacterium. Its description in RNAcentral is "tRNA-Pro". It matches the Rfam family "tRNA". Rfam says of the family: Transfer RNA (tRNA) molecules are approximately 80 nucleotides in length. Their secondary structure includes four short double-helical elements and three loops (D, anti-codon, and T loops). The record is from RNAcentral. Lineage: Bacteria; Pseudomonadati; Pseudomonadota; Alphaproteobacteria.